This 253-nucleotide ribosomal RNA is filed under the name uncultured bacterium. RNAcentral's name for it is "partial 16S ribosomal RNA". It matches the Rfam family "Bacterial small subunit ribosomal RNA", at positions 524 to 776 of the family's 1533-position model. The record is from RNAcentral.
UACGUAGGGUGCGAGCGUUAAUCGGAAUUACUGGGCGUAAAGCGUGCGCAGGCGGUGAUGUAAGACAGAUGUGAAAUCCCCGGGCUUAACCUGGGAACUGCAUUUGUGACUGCAUCGCUGGAGUGCGGCAGAGGGGGAUGGAAUUCCGCGUGUAGCAGUGAAAUGCGUAGAUAUGCGGAGGAACACCGAUGGCGAAGGCAAUCCCCUGGGCCUGCACUGACGCUCAUGCACGAAAGCGUGGGGAGCAAACAGG